Molecule: long non-coding RNA, 237 nt
Filed under: Homo sapiens (human)
Lineage: Eukaryota; Metazoa; Chordata; Mammalia; Primates; Hominidae
Description: non-protein coding lnc-UTP11-8:1
Source: RNAcentral
GUAAAAUAAAAGCUCCAUCCAUACUGUAAAACACAAACACAAAAUACUCAGAAAUAAACUUUACAAAAAAGUGUGUAGCAUUACAUGAAGAAAACUCUUCUGAGUUUGAAUAAAUAUGGUAUAUACCUAGUUCUUGAGUAGAAAGAUUUAAUGCUUUAAGGAUGUCAAUUCUCCUAAACAAAUGUGUGAAAUUAAGAUAAUCCAAUCAAGAUCCCAACAGGAUUAGAAUUUUUUUUG